RNAcentral lists this ribosomal RNA (495 nucleotides) under uncultured bacterium. Its description in RNAcentral is "partial 16S ribosomal RNA". It matches the Rfam family "Bacterial small subunit ribosomal RNA", at positions 28 to 507 of the family's 1533-position model. The record is from RNAcentral.
GACGAACGCUGGCGGCGUGCCUAAUACAUGCAAGUAGAACGCUGAAGGCGGAGCUUGCUUCUCCGGAUGAGUUGCGAACGGGUGAGUAACGCGUAGGUAACCUGCCUGGUAGCGGGGGAUAACUAUUGGAAACGAUAGCUAAUACCGCAUAAGAGUAGAUGUUGCAUGACAUUUGCUUAAAAGGUGCAAUUGCAUCACUACCAGAUGGACCUGCGUUGUAUUAGCUAGUUGGUGGGGUAGCGGCUCACCAAGGCGACGAUACAUAGCCGACCUGAGAGGGUGAGCGAGCACACUGAGACUGGGACACGGCCCAGACUCCUACGGGAGGCAGCAGUAGGGAAUCGUCGGCAAUGGACGGAAGUCUGACCGAGCAACGCCGAAGGAGUGAAGAAGGUUAUCGGAUCGUAAAGCGCUGUUGUAAGAGAAGAGCGGGUGUGGGAGUGGAAAGUUCACACUGUGACGGUAUCUUACCAGAAAGGGACGGCUAACUACGUG